Molecule: ribosomal RNA, 809 nt
Filed under: Uthina cf. huifengi Mal356
Lineage: Eukaryota; Metazoa; Arthropoda; Arachnida; Araneae; Pholcidae
Description: partial 28S ribosomal RNA
Rfam family: Eukaryotic large subunit ribosomal RNA
Source: RNAcentral
UGAGGGAAAGUUGCAAAGAACUUUGAAGAGAGAGUUCAAGAGUACGUGAAACUGCUCGGAAGGAAACGGGUGGAUCUUCGAAGUCCGAGAGGAGCGGGAUUCAGUGGCGGGCGGCGAGGGGUGUUUGAACUUCGUACUCCCUCGCGGGGACGAGGGGCGAGCACCGUUCUCCCGUCAGCCGCGCACUUCUCGCUCCCGGUGGACGCCGCAGCCGGUCUGGCGUCGGCAGUGAGGACUGGCCGGGCGAUGGCGUGGGCGUCGAUCUCGCAUCGGCGUCCCGAUUCUGUACCGGUCGUGUUCCCGGUGCGACGCCGGUCCGAGGGAAAGUGUCCGGACUAGUUCCGGACGUGCCGCGGUCUCGCCAUGAGAAUGGCAGAGCGGGAGAGUGGUCCGGUCCUACCGGCCGUGUUGCCCACCACGAGCGUGAGCGACCGGAAAAAGGUGAGCCGUAAGAUCGCGACCUAGCCCGCUAAGGCGAACCGAGGGCUUGCGGCGAGUAGGUCGGUAUUCCACCCGACCCGUCUUGAAACACGGACCAAGGAGUCUAACUUGUGCGCGAGUCAGUGGGACUCGAUUAAGCCCACGGGCGCAAUGAGAGUGAAUUUUUGUGUCGUGAUCCCGCGCUUCGGCGUGGGCGCAGCGACGGCCCGACUAAAAUGUUGUCCAGCGUAGCUGGCGCCGGUCGGAGCCCGAGCGUACAGGUUGGUACCCGAAAGAUGGUGAACUAUGCCCGGGCAGGUUGAAGCUAGAGGAAACUCUGGUGGAGGACCGCAGCGGUUCUGACGUGCAAAUCGAUCGUCGAACCUGGG